Rhea pennata is the source of this 571-nucleotide long non-coding RNA. RefSeq lists it as uncharacterized. The transcript is spliced from 3 exons. Lineage: Eukaryota; Metazoa; Chordata; Aves; Rheiformes; Rheidae. The record is from RefSeq and is a predicted model, not a curated record.
CGAAAGGAAUGCGUGGGAAUAGCAGGAGGGCUUGGGGAUUUGGCGUAAGUUGUUACAGAGAAAAUCUCAUCGCGGGCUGCUGCGUCACGGCCUCCCCCUAGUAACGGGGCUGAGCUCCCCGGCCGAAAGCCGCGUUUCUCCCAGGUGUGCGUCACCGCGGUCCGGUGCCUGGGGAAAAGUCGAGCUGGGCGUCUCCGGGAAGGGGCGAGGGAGGCGAAGCCUGCGCGUGCGAUACCCGCCUUCCCGGGGCCGGAAAGAGUUAAAGUGCUCAGCUGCAAGACGAAGAGCAAGCCCGCAGCCUGGUGACCUCCAGCCGCCCCGAGAGCAGCAGCCGGAGCCGAAGAGGAGCAGCGCUUCGGCGGGGAGGCGGCAGCGGGCAGCGCGGCGUGCGGCUGCGGCGCGACCCUGACGGCUUCCGCCGCGACGGCCUCGAUGCUGUAAAAAUACGUAUAUUCAGGCAGGGACGUCGGCUGGAGCCCAGCGGAGCGGCGCCCGAGGCAGGGCCGCUCAGCGCAGCAGCAGCACCGGCCGGGGCGGAGCGGCGCGGCGCGGAGGCGGAGCGGGGCCGGGC